Molecule: ribosomal RNA, 403 nt
Filed under: uncultured bacterium
Lineage: Bacteria
Description: bacterial SSU rRNA
Rfam family: Bacterial small subunit ribosomal RNA
Source: RNAcentral
GAUGAACGCUGGCGGCGUGCUUAACACAUGCAAGUCGAACGAAGCAAUUGGAGUGCUUGCACUUUGAUUGACUGAGUGGCGGACGGGUGAGUAACGCGUGGGUAACCUGCCUCAUACAGGGGGAUAACAGUUAGAAAUGACUGCUAAUACCGCAUAAGCGCACAGUAUCGCAUGGUACAGUGUGAAAAACUCCGGUGGUAUGAGAUGGACCCGCGUCUGAUUAGCUAGUUGGUAAGGUAACGGCUUACCAAGGCGACGAUCAGUAGCCAGCCUGAGAGGGUGAUCGGCCACAUUGGGACUGAGACACGGCCCAAAACUCCUACGGGAGGCAGCAGUGGGGAAUAUUGCACAAUGGGGGAAACCCUGAUGCAGCAAACGCCGCGUGAAGGAUGACGUAUUUCGG